RNAcentral lists this non-coding RNA (30 nucleotides) under Rattus norvegicus (Norway rat). Lineage: Eukaryota; Metazoa; Chordata; Mammalia; Rodentia; Muridae. The record is from RNAcentral.
UUCUUUGGAAAUGACCCAAUUCGCCACAAU